UUUUUUUUUUUUUUUCCUAACUUUUAUUUUAGGUUUAGGAGUACAUGUGCAGGAUUGUUCUAUAGGCAGAUUGCAUGUUGUGGGGGUUUGGUAUACAGAUUAUUUAGUCACCCAAGUAAUAAGUGUAGUAGCUGAGAGGUACUUUUUUUGAUUCUCUCUCUUCUCCCAGUCUCCAUCCUCAAGUGGGCUCUUGUGUGUGUUGUUGCCCUCUUUGUGUCCAUGUGUUCUCAUUGUUUAGCUCCCACUUACAAGUGAGACACACAAAAAAUUAACUAGGGCUUGGUACUCUGUCAUGGCAGCAGAAAAUAGACUAAGAAAUCACUUAAUAAUUUCUGGCGUAAAUUUGGCACUCAAUAAGUAACUAUCAAUGAACAAAUGGAUGAUAUUUUGUUGUGAAUCCCCCCCUAAAAUUUUUUAGAAAUAUAUUUACUAUUUAAAGCAGCUGCCUCCUUACAUUGAUGAUAUUUAAGAUGACAAAGGUGGUGAUAUUGACAAAAACCCUGUGUCUAGGCCAUCUUAUGAUGUGGUUGUGGGAUUAGAGUGUUUAAUUGGCAAUCUUAACCAUAGAAAUGUCCAUUUUCCUUUAUAUCUUCCUCUUUUUUUUUGCCCCACUAGCAAAACACUAACAAUUAGUAUGAGUGUCUCCCAUGUAUGGUCCACUGUACAUUACUGGAGAGAAGCUUCUGAAGGGACUCAUGGCAACCAAUUGACCAACCAGCAUAUCUUCUCCUUGGCUCUGUACUCAGGUCUGUGCUAGAGCUGGGUGACAGAAACAGUUUAGUGGGUCUUGAUUUCUGCCCUCAGUGAGCUUUGACUAAUUGGAGACAGUAAAUUUUUAUUUAAUUAAAAUUAAAAGGGAGGAAGGUUUUCAAGGUCCAAGGAUAGCAUGAGUUUGUAACUGAAGGCAGUAGGAUGAAAGGUGUGCUCUGGUACCAAUAAGCAGGGGUGUCAAUAAUAGUAUCUGGGUGGCAGGAUAUGUGGGGGUGAUUAUUAAUCUAUUCUUUCUAUAUUCCCAUAGUUUCUAAAUUAUUUUUACGAUUUUAAAGUUGAUUGAAAAAGAAUCCUAAAUGGUUACUGUUGCAGUAUGGAAGGUUUUUUUUUAUUUUGGUUGGAGUAAGCUCAUAUGCAGAAUGGCCACCCAACCAGUUAUUUCUCUAGUUCAGGAGAUAGGCAAAGGCCAGUCUGUGGCAUGUGCAGUGGCAUAGGGAGGAGCAGAUAGCUGUAUCACACGCAGAGUCACUCUGUUAUCAGAAUCUCAGUCCAAUCUGGGUCUGGAAUUUUCUCUACAUAGACUCUUCUCAGUUUGACACUAGGGAAAGCUGUCUUUAUUUCCCUGUUGGUACUUGAGCCAUUUCCCCAAAAUUUUCCUGAGUCAUAGGCCCUCUGAUGGCCAGAGGAUUAAGCUUGGAAAGGAAGCAGAUAUUCUGGUUGGAUCUUGAGG
This 1441-nucleotide long non-coding RNA is filed under the name Macaca fascicularis (crab-eating macaque). RNAcentral's name for it is "lncRNA (ENSMFAG00000058981.1)". The record is from RNAcentral. Lineage: Eukaryota; Metazoa; Chordata; Mammalia; Primates; Cercopithecidae.